Molecule: ribosomal RNA, 425 nt
Filed under: uncultured bacterium
Lineage: Bacteria
Description: bacterial SSU rRNA
Rfam family: Bacterial small subunit ribosomal RNA
Source: RNAcentral
GUGGGGAAUAUUGGACAAUGGGGGCAACCCUGAUCCAGCCAUGCCGCGUGAGUGAAGAAGGCCUUAGGGUUGUAAAUCUCUUUCGGCGGGGAAGAUAAUGACGGUACCCGCAGAAGAAGCCCCGGCUAACUCCGUGCCAGCAGCCGCGGUAAUACGGAGGGGGCUAGCGUUGUUCGGAAUUACUGGGCGUAAAGGGCACGUAGGCUGGCUGUUAAGUCGGGGGUGAAAUCCUGAGGCUCAACCUCAGAAUUGCCUCCGAUACUGGCGGUCUCGAGUGCGGGAGAGGUGAGUGGAAUUCCCAGUGUAGAGGUGAAAUUCGUAGAUAUCGGAAGGAACACCAGUGGCGAAGGCGACUUCCUGGCCCAGUACUGACGCUGAGGUGCGAAAGCGUGGGGAGCAAACAGGAUUAGAAACCCUAGUAGUCC